This is a microRNA precursor of Cricetulus griseus (Chinese hamster), 82 nucleotides long. Lineage: Eukaryota; Metazoa; Chordata; Mammalia; Rodentia; Cricetidae. The record is from Ensembl.
GGGCUUUCAAGUCACUAGUGGUUCCGUUUAGUAGAUGAUUUGCACAUUGUUUCAAAAUGGUGCCCUAGUGACUACAAAGCCC